AAAUUGAAGAGUUUGAUCAUGGCUCAGAUUGAACGCUGGCGGCAGGCCUAACACAUGCAAGUCGAGCGGUAGCACAGAGAGCUUGCUCUCGGGUGACGAGCGGCGGACGGGUGAGUAAUGUCUGGGAAACUGCCUGAUGGAGGGGGAUAACUACUGGAAACGGUAGCUAAUACCGCAUAACGUCGCAAGACCAAAGUGGGGGACCUUCGGGCCUCAUGCCAUCAGAUGUGCCCAGAUGGGAUUAGCUAGUAGGUGGGGUAAUGGCUCACCUAGGCGACGAUCCCUAGCUGGUCUGAGAGGAUGACCAGCCACACUGGAACUGAGACACGGUCCAGACUCCUACGGGAGGCAGCAGUGGGGAAUAUUGCACAAUGGGCGCAAGCCUGAUGCAGCCAUGCCGCGUGUAUGAAGAAGGCCUUCGGGUUGUAAAGUACUUUCAGCGAGGAGGAAGGCGUUAAGGUUAAUAACCUUGGUGAUUGACGUUACUCGCAGAAGAAGCACCGGCUAACUCCGUGCCAGCAGCCGCGGUAAUACGGAGGGUGCAAGCGUUAAUCGGAAUUACUGGGCGUAAAGCGCACGCAGGCGGUCUGUCAAGUCGGAUGUGAAAUCCCCGGGCUCAACCUGGGAACUGCAUUCGAAACUGGCAGGCUAGAGUCUUGUAGAGGGGGGUAGAAUUCCAGGUGUAGCGGUGAAAUGCGUAGAGAUCUGGAGGAAUACCGGUGGCGAAGGCGGCCCCCUGGACAAAGACUGACGCUCAGGUGCGAAAGCGUGGGGAGCAAACAGGAUUAGAUACCCUGGUAGUCCACGCCGUAAACGAUGUCGACUUGGAGGUUGUGCCCUUGAGGCGUGGCUUCCGGAGCUAACGCGUUAAGUCGACCGCCUGGGGAGUACGGCCGCAAGGUUAAAACUCAAAUGAAUUGACGGGGGCCCGCACAAGCGGUGGAGCAUGUGGUUUAAUUCGAUGCAACGCGAAGAACCUUACCUACUCUUGACAUCCAGAGAACUUAGCAGAGAUGCUUUGGUGCCUUCGGGAACUCUGAGACAGGUGCUGCAUGGCUGUCGUCAGCUCGUGUUGUGAAAUGUUGGGUUAAGUCCCGCAACGAGCGCAACCCUUAUCCUUUGUUGCCAGCGAUUCGGUCGGGAACUCAAAGGAGACUGCCAGUGAUAAACUGGAGGAAGGUGGGGAUGACGUCAAGUCAUCAUGGCCCUUACGAGUAGGGCUACACACGUGCUACAAUGGCAUAUACAAAGAGAAGCGACCUCGCGAGAGCAAGCGGACCUCAUAAAGUAUGUCGUAGUCCGGAUUGGAGUCUGCAACUCGACUCCAUGAAGUCGGAAUCGCUAGUAAUCGUAGAUCAGAAUGCUACGGUGAAUACGUUCCCGGGCCUUGUACACACCGCCCGUCACACCAUGGGAGUGGGUUGCAAAAGAAGUAGGUAGCUUAACCUUCGGGAGGGCGCUUACCACUUUGUGAUUCAUGACUGGGGUGAAGUCGUAACAAGGUAACCGUAGGGGAACCUGCGGUUGGAUCACCUCCUUACCUUAAAGAA
This 1550-nucleotide ribosomal RNA is filed under the name Klebsiella aerogenes. Its description in RNAcentral is "bacterial SSU rRNA". It matches the Rfam family "Bacterial small subunit ribosomal RNA". Lineage: Bacteria; Pseudomonadati; Pseudomonadota; Gammaproteobacteria; Enterobacterales; Enterobacteriaceae. The record is from RNAcentral.